This 345-nucleotide unclassified non-coding RNA is filed under the name soil metagenome. RNAcentral's name for it is "partial contains 5.8S ribosomal RNA, internal transcribed spacer 2, and large subunit ribosomal RNA". The stretch from base 1 to 120 matches the Rfam family "5.8S ribosomal RNA", at positions 35 to 154 of the family's 154-position model. The record is from RNAcentral.
GAUGAAGAACGCAGUGAAAUGCGAUACGUAAUGUGAAUUGCAGAAUUCAGUGAAUCAUCGAGUCUUUGAACGCACAUUGCGCCCCCUGGUAUUCCGGGGGGCAUGCCCGUCCGAGCGUCAUUGCUGCCCUCAAGCACGGCUUGUGUGUUGGGCCUCCGUCCUCCUCCCGGGGGACGGGCCCGAAAGGCAGCGGCGGCACCGCGUCCGGUCCUCGAGCGUAUGGGGCUUCGUCACCCGCUCUUGUAGGCCCGGCCGGCGCUUGCCGACACAUCAAUCUUUUUUCCAGGUUGACCUCGGAUCAGGUAGGGAUACCCGCUGAACUUAAGCAUAUCAAUAAGCGGAGGA